Molecule: small nucleolar RNA, 72 nt
Filed under: Vicugna pacos (alpaca)
Lineage: Eukaryota; Metazoa; Chordata; Mammalia; Artiodactyla; Camelidae
Description: Small nucleolar RNA SNORD112 (ENSVPAG00000017634.1)
Source: RNAcentral
UGGACCACUACUGAGCAUGUGUAACGAACCAUGGAUUAAAAUUAAUCUAUUUUAGUACAACUGAGUGCCAUU